UAAAAAAAGGUAAGCUACUAAGAGCGAAUGGUGGAUGCCUUGACUGGUAAAGGCGAUGAAGGACGUACUAGACUGCGAUAAGCUACGGGGAGCUGUCAAGAAGCUUUGAUCCGUAGAUUUCCGAAUGGGGCAACCCAAUGUAUAGAGAUAUACAUUACCUAUAUAGGAGCGAACGAGGGGAAUUGAAACAUCUUAGUACCCUCAGGAAAAGAAAUCAAUAGAGAUUGCGUCAGUAGCGGCGAGCGAAAGCGCAAGAGGGCAAACCCAGUGCUUGCACUGGGGGUUGUAGGACUGCAAUGUGCAAGAGCUGAGUUUAGCAGAACAUUCUGGAAAGUAUAGCCAUAGAGGGUGAUAGUCCCGUAUGCGAAAAACAAAGCUUAGCUAGCAGUAUCCUGAGUAGGGCGGGACACGAGGAAUCCUGUCUGAAUCCGGGUCGACCACGAUCCAACCCUAAAUACUAAUACCAGAUCGAUAGUGCACAAGUACCGUGAGGGAAAGGUGAAAAGAACUGAGGUGAUCAGAGUGAAAUAGAACCUGAAACCAUUUGCUUACAAUCAUUCAGAGCACUAUGUAGCAAUACAGUGUGAUGGACUGCCUUUUGCAUAAUGAGCCUGCGAGUUGUGGUGUCUGGCAAGGUUAAGCAAACGCGAAGCCGUAGCGAAAGCGAGUCUGAAUAGGGCGCUUAGUCAGAUGCUGCAGACCCGAAACGAAGUGAUCUAUCCAUGAGCAAGUUGAAGCUAGUGUAAGAACUAGUGGAGGACUGAACCCAUAGGCGUUGAAAAGCCCCGGGAUGACUUGUGGAUAGGGGUGAAAGGCCAAUCAAACUUCGUGAUAGCUGGUUCUCUCCGAAAUAUAUUUAGGUAUAGCGUUGUGUCGUAAUAUAAGGGGGUAGAGCACUGAAUGGGCUAGGGCAUACACCAAUGUACCAAACCCUAUCAAACUCCGAAUACCUUAUAUGUAAUCACAGCAGUCAGGCGGCGAGUGAUAAAAUCCGUCGUCAAGAGGGAAACAACCCAGACUACCAGCUAAGGUCCCUAAAUCUUACUUAAGUGGAAAACGAUGUGAAGUUACUUAAACAACCAGGAGGUUGGCUUAGAAGCAGCCAUCCUUUAAAGAAAGCGUAAUAGCUCACUGGUCUAGUGAUUUUGCGCGGAAAAUAUAACGGGGCUAAAGUAAGUACCGAAGCUGUAGACUUGCACACAACUUAGAUUAUUUAAGUUUAGAAUAUGAGAAACUAAGUUAUAUGUUUAGUUAUAUUUUUACUGAUUUUUAUAGAGUAAAGAUAGAAAUAAAACUUAGUAAAAUCAGUAAAAAUAUUCUUAGGCUAAAGUUAAGUAGUUUAAGUUGUGUGCAAGUGGUAGGAGAGCGUUCUAUUUGCGUCGAAGGUAUACCGGUAAGGAGUGCUGGAGCGAAUAGAAGUGAGCAUGCAGGCAUGAGUAGCGAUAAUUAAUGUGAGAAUCAUUAACGCCGUAAACCCAAGGUUUCCUACGCGAUGCUCGUCAUCGUAGGGUUAGUCGGGUCCUAAGUCGAGUCCGAAAGGGGUAGACGAUGGCAAAUUGGUUAAUAUUCCAAUACCAACAUUAGUGUGCGAUGGAAGGACGCUUAGGGCUAAGGGGGCUAGCGGAUGGAAGUGCUAGUCUAAGGUUGUAGGAGGUUAUACAGGCAAAUCCGUAUAACAAUACUCCGAGAACUGAAAGGCUUUUUGAAGUCUUCGGAUGGAAAGAAGAACCCCUGAUGCCGUCGAGCCAAGAAAAGUUUCUAAGUUUAGCUAAUGUUGCCCGUACCGUAAACCGACACAGGUGGGUGGGAUGAGUAUUCUAAGGCGCGUGGAAGAACUCUCUUUAAGGAACUCUGCAAAAUAGCACCGUAUCUUCGGUAUAAGGUGUGCCUCCCUUUGUAUUAGGAUUUACUCCGAAAGCAAAGAAGGUUACAACAAAGAGUCCCUCCCGACUGUUUACCAAAAACACAGCACUCUGCUAACUCGUAAGAGGAUGUAUAGGGUGUGACGCCUGCCCGGUGCUCGAAGGUUAAUUGAUGGGGUUAGCAUUAGCGAAGCUCUUGAUCGAAGCCCGAGUAAACGGCGGCCGUAACUAUAACGGUCCUAAGGUAGCGAAAUUCCUUGUCGGUUAAAUACCGACCUGCAUGAAUGGCGUAACGAGAUGGGAGCUGUCUCAAAGAGGGAUCCAGUGAAAUUGUAGUGGAGGUGAAAAUUCCUCCUACCCGCGGCAAGACGGAGAGACCCCGUGGACCUUUACUACAGCUUGACACUGCUAUUUGGAUAAGAAUGUGCAGGAUAGGUGGGAGGCUUUGAGUAUAUGACGCCAGUUGUAUAUGAGCCAUUGUUGAGAUACCACUCUUUCUUAUUUGGGUAGCUAACCAGCUUGAGUUAUCCUCAAGUGGGACAAUGUCUGGUGGGUAGUUUGACUGGGGCGGUCGCCUCCCAAAUAAUAACGGAGGCUUACAAAGGUUGGCUCAUAGCGGUUGGAAAUCGCUAGUAGAGUAUAAAGGUAUAAGCCAGCUUAACUGCAAGACAUACAAGUCAAGCAGAGACGAAAGUCGGUCUUAGUGAUCCGGUGGUUCUGUGUGGAAGGGCCAUCGCUCAAAGGAUAAAAGGUACCCCGGGGAUAACAGGCUGAUCUCCCCCAAGAGCUCACAUCGACGGGGAGGUUUGGCACCUCGAUGUCGGCUCAUCGCAUCCUGGGGCUGGAGCAGGUCCCAAGGGUAUGGCUGUUCGCCAUUUAAAGCGGUACGCGAGCUGGGUUCAGAACGUCGUGAGACAGUUCGGUCCCUAUCUGCCGUGGGCGUAAGAAGAUUGAAGAGAUUUGACCCUAGUACGAGAGGACCGGGUUGAACAAACCACUGGUGUAGCUGUUGUUCUGCCAAGAGCAUCGCAGCGUAGCUAAGUUUGGAAAGGAUAAACGCUGAAAGCAUCUAAGCGUGAAGCCAACUCUAAGAUGAAUCUUCUCUAAGCUCUCUAGAAGACUACUAGUUUGAUAGGCUGGGUGUGUAAUGGAUGAAAGUCCUUUAGCUGACCAGUACUAAUAGAGCGUUUGGCUUAUCUUAUAAA
This 3067-nucleotide ribosomal RNA is filed under the name Campylobacter jejuni. Its description in RNAcentral is "23S ribosomal RNA". It matches the Rfam family "Bacterial large subunit ribosomal RNA". Lineage: Bacteria; Pseudomonadati; Campylobacterota; Epsilonproteobacteria; Campylobacterales; Campylobacteraceae. The record is from RNAcentral.